GAAACUGCGAAUGGCUCAUUAAAUCAGUUAUGGUUUAUUUGAUGGUACCUUACUACUUGGAUAACCGUAGUAAUUCUAGAGCUAAUACAUGCAAGAAUGCCCGACUUCGGAAGGGCUGUAUUUAUUAGAUAAGAAACCAAUCCGGUUCUCCGGUUGCGUGCUGAGUCAUAAUAACUGCUCGAAUCGCAUGGCCUUGCGCCGGCGAUGGUUCAUUCAAAUUUCUGCCCUAUCAGCUUUCGAUGGUAGGAUAGAGGCCUACCAUGGCGUUCACGGGUAACGGAGAAUUAGGGUUCGAUUCCGGAGAGGGAGCCUGAGAAAUGGCUACCACAUCCAAGGAAGGCAGCAGGCGCGUAAAUUGCCCGAAUCCUGACACAGGGAGGUAGUGACAAGAAAUAACAAUACAGGGCCAUCUUAGUCUUGUAAUUGGAAUGAGUACAAUUUACAACUCUUCACGAGGAUCAAUUGGAGGGCAAGUCUGGUGCCAGCAGCCGCGGUAAUUCCAGCUCCAAUAGCGUAUAUUAAAGUUGUUGCAGUUAAAACGCUCGUAGUCGGAUUUCGGGGCGGGCUGCUCGGUCUGCCGAUGGGUAUGCACUGGGUGGCGCGUCCUUCCUUCCGGAGACCGCGCCUUCUCUUAACUGAGCGGGCGCGGGAGACGGAACGUUUACUUUGAAAAAAUCAGAGUGUUUCAAGCAGGCAUCUCGCUCUUGCAUGGAUUAGCAUGGGAUAAUGAAAUAGGACUUUGGUGCUAUUUUGUUGGUUUCGAACACCGAAGUAAUGAUUAACAGGGACAGUCAGGGGCACUCGUAUUCCGUCGAGAGAGGUGAAAUUCUCAGACCAACGGAAGACGAACCACUGCGAAAGCAUUUGCCAGGGAUGUUUUCACUGAUCAAGAACGAAAGUUAGGGGAUCGAAGACGAUCAGAUACCGUCGUA
RNAcentral lists this ribosomal RNA (932 nucleotides) under uncultured eukaryote. RNAcentral describes it as "SSU rRNA". It matches the Rfam family "Eukaryotic small subunit ribosomal RNA", at positions 83 to 1022 of the family's 1831-position model. The record is from RNAcentral.